This 1166-nucleotide long non-coding RNA is filed under the name Mytilus galloprovincialis (Mediterranean mussel). The record is from RNAcentral. Lineage: Eukaryota; Metazoa; Mollusca; Bivalvia; Mytilida; Mytilidae.
GUUUCGAAGGCCAUGCUACAGUUAAUUACGAAGUCAGAUGAUUGAGGAUAUUGAGGUGAUUUUGAUUUAGACGAGGGCGUCUUUUCCUUCAGACCGGGGGAAGACAGUUGAUAUGGAUGUUUUUAAUCAUUUGAUGUCAUGGAAGACAUUUUCUCAGAAGGGGGAGAAUGUGGUAGAGACGAUUUUCAUUGAUUUUAUUAUUUUAAUCACUUCUCUGUAUAGUUUAUCAUUAUUACUUAUUGAUCAGUUUAUCUAUGUAUUUUUUAAUCAUUAGAGUAUUUAGUAUUAAUCAGCUAUGCUUGACCGCACAGUGGUAACUGUUUCUACCUGUACAAUUUAUAUAUCAUUAGUUAGAAAGCUCAGGUGAAUUUCUCUGUGGUCAGAAUUAUCUGUGUUCUCAUUGGUUAAUUGGGACAUACCCCCAGAUUUGAAAUGGGUAUUGUUUGAGAAAAAUGGAGAAUUUAUAUUUACUUUAGUUUGUGCCAUUUCUAUAUUGUUUGGAACGGAAUGAUAUUUCAUUGAUAGUCAUUUGCAGUAUUUUGGACAUAUGGAAUUUAGUAUAUUCACUUUAUAAGGUAAGAAUGCACUUUAUUUACUUUGAGUAGAAUGAGAGAUGAAUGAAUUGUAUGGAACGCUUUAAGCCCUAUUUGGUAGGUAUAACCCUAUAUCCCUAUAUUAUGUAAAUGUGUGUAAAAGAGAUGAUUCCGAGUAUGAGUUAUAUGAAAGCGUAGUUUGCAAGUAGGGAGAUAGAUUUUUGAAUGAUUCUGAGAAUGACCUUUGACCCUUAUGUCAUGAGUCUUAUACGUCACAUUGCUUUAUACUGAUACUACGUCAUAGCCUGUAAUUUUAAUAUAUGAUAAUCAAGUUUAUAUUACUAUUGUGAUUGAUUAUUAAAAUCAUUGUAAUGCUUUGAUUAUAUGGAACUGAAAUGUGUAUUUGAAUACUUAUUGUGUUGUACAUUGCUUGUAGGACCCAUUGAUCAUACAGACAUAUAUUUGAUGUUAGAAGUAGAGCAUUGGUUAUAAUGCUAAUGUAGUGCUGUUGAUGUUAUAGCCUGAUUCCAUAAAUCGGUAAGGCUUAUCUUGAUCUCUAUUGAUAUACGUAUUAUUGAUAUACUAUGGUACCUUGAUAUAUGUUAAUAGAAUGUUUGAUAGUUAUAUUCAAAU